RNAcentral lists this unclassified non-coding RNA (354 nucleotides) under fungal sp. RNAcentral describes it as "partial internal transcribed spacer region". The stretch from base 1 to 46 matches the Rfam family "Eukaryotic small subunit ribosomal RNA", at positions 1786 to 1831 of the family's 1831-position model. Lineage: Eukaryota; Fungi. The record is from RNAcentral.
AAGUCGUAACAAGGUUUCCGUAGGUGAACCUGCGGAAGGAUCAUUAACACGUAUCCAAACGUUAAACCCCCCUGUGAACCUUCAGUCGUACUCGUACGUCCGUUAGAAAAAGCAGCAAUCCCUGGUAAAUCAUCGCCGAACAGUUUUCGAUUCAGGGACGUCUGCAAGGAGCGUGCAUGUUGUGCGUGUAAGUGGCCUGGCAUCCCCAAGCAGUUAGUGUCUGAAAGUGUCGACCGGGUCACCGGGUGCAAGCCCCCUUAUCACACCCCUGCUCUAUCUAUGGUGAUCCUGCGGGAAGUCCUGCGGUCGAACGCCGAAACCGAACAACUGUUAACAAUGGAUAUCUUGGUUCUC